AUUGAACGCUGGCGGCAGGCCUAACACAUGCAAGUCGAGCGGAUGAAGGGAGCUUGCUCCUGGAUUCAGCGGCGGACGGGUGAGUAAUGCCUAGGAAUCUGCCUGGUAGUGGGGGAUAACGUCCGGAAACGGGCGCUGAUACCGCAUACGUCCUGAGGGAGAAAGUGGGGGGUCUUCGGACCUCACGCUCUCAGAUGAGUCUAGGUCGGAUUAGCUAGUUGGUGGGGUAAAGGCCUACCAAGGCGACGAUCCGUAACUGGUCUGAGAGGAUGAUCAGUCACACUGGAGCUGAGACACGGUCCAGACUCCUACGGGAGGCAGCAGUGGGGAAUAUUGGACAAUAGGCGAAAGCCUGGUCCAGCCAUGCCGCGUGUGUUAAGAAGGUCUUCGGAUUGUAAAGCACUUUAAGUUGGGAGGAAGGGCAGUAAGUUAAUACCUUGCUGUUUUGACGUUACCAGCAGAAUAAGCACCGGCUAACUUCGUG
This 484-nucleotide ribosomal RNA is filed under the name uncultured bacterium. Its description in RNAcentral is "partial 16S ribosomal RNA". It matches the Rfam family "Bacterial small subunit ribosomal RNA", at positions 30 to 507 of the family's 1533-position model. The record is from RNAcentral.